RNAcentral lists this ribosomal RNA (253 nucleotides) under uncultured bacterium. RNAcentral's name for it is "partial 16S ribosomal RNA". It matches the Rfam family "Bacterial small subunit ribosomal RNA", at positions 524 to 776 of the family's 1533-position model. The record is from RNAcentral.
GACGAACCGUGCGAACGUUGUUCGGAUUCACUGGGCUUAAAGGGCGCGUAGGCGGGCGUCAAGGUCCGGGGUGAAAUACUCCAGCUCAACUGGAGAACAGCCUUGGAUACCGGACGCCUCGAGUGGGGUAGGGGCGGGCGGAACUUCCGGUGGAGCGGUGAAAUGCGUAGAUAUCGUUUGGAACGCCAAUGGUGAAAACAGGUAGCUGGGGAUGUGCCGACGCUGAGACACGAAAGCCAGGGGAGCGAACGGG